GCCGAAGUGGCGGAAUUGGUAGACGCGCUAGAUUCAGGAUCUAGUGGACAUUAUAUCCGUGGGAGUUCGAAUCUCCCCUUCGGCACCA
This 88-nucleotide transfer RNA is filed under the name Deltaproteobacteria bacterium. RNAcentral's name for it is "tRNA-Leu". It matches the Rfam family "tRNA". Rfam says of the family: Transfer RNA (tRNA) molecules are approximately 80 nucleotides in length. Their secondary structure includes four short double-helical elements and three loops (D, anti-codon, and T loops). Further hydrogen bonds mediate the characteristic L-shaped molecular structure. tRNAs have two regions of fundamental functional importance: the anti-codon, which is responsible for specific mRNA codon recognition, and the 3' end, to which the tRNAs corresponding amino acid is attached (by aminoacyl-tRNA synthetases). tRNAs cope with the degeneracy of the genetic code in two manners: having more than one tRNA (with a specific anti-codon) for a particular amino acid; and 'wobble' base-pairing, i.e. permitting non-standard base-pairing at the 3rd anti-codon position. Lineage: Bacteria; Pseudomonadati; Myxococcota; Myxococcia. RNAcentral also lists the same sequence under 2 other names. The record is from RNAcentral.